GACAUGGGGGUGAGUAAAUUAUCAGGAAAUUUUCAUUCAGAAGUGAACUAAUCCUUUAAUAAAGUGAUGAUGGUGAUUGGGGCAUUAGGUGUUGUGGUCAGAGUGAACUUUACUUUGACUUCCUCUGCUUGAUGUGGAAAGUUUUUUUUUUUUUUUGUCUUCCUGUCUGCUUCAGAGUUGCAGUAGUUUCAUCUUAAAAGUUGUGUGAAGGGAAGCAAAUUCGUACUGAAGUGUUUUAUUCACGACAACAUGAAGAUCAUUCAGUUUCAGCUCUAUGUAUUAAUCUGUUGUCAAGCAGCAGUAGCAGAUCAACUAACUGAUUUGGGAUCAAAUGUGACCAUAAACUGUGAUCUUGAUGAAAAUGAGGUUUAUUGGAUUUUACUGAAAACACCAGAUCCUCCAACAGUGAUUCUACGAUCAUUACCAACACCAUUAUCACCUUUUUACUCAAAUAAAACAUUCAGAAAGAAAUAUUCAGUGCAGUUUAAACAUUGUCUGGUUAUAAAUAAUGUGACAGCUGAUGAAUUAGGAGUUUAUUACUGUAUGAACACAGGCACACCUCUAAGAUUCAGCAACAGCACCAGACUGUACUUCACCGAAUCAACUCGACUAACUGAGUUUCACAAUCAUACAGUUGUGGAGUUUAUUGAACAGAAUCAAACACAAUGUCAGAUUAUUAUCAUCAUAUCUGGACUAAUGAUCGGGCUUCUGCUCAUUGUGCUGAUCGGUGAGUGUUCUUUAAGAAAAAAUGAAAUUAUCAAAUAAAAUACACUGUAGUCUAAAAUCAGUAUGAUGCUCUUCUCUAGAGGCAGGUGACACUAUAAUUGUGAAUUUUCCAUUAUUUCGUCUGUUGACUAUUAUUUAGCAUCUCAGUUUAAGAAAGAAUAAUAACUUCAGUAAAUAAUGAAACUGAUUUUAUUGUCUCAUUCUUAGUGUUUGCUGUUGGAAAAACAGAACGGUUGGAAAAACACAUUUAUGAUGCUGAUCUGCUGCAGACACGAGUGAUAUAUCAGCUUCAAGACCAAAACUGAUUAACAUCACAUUAAAUAAAUUAUGUGUCAGUUCUGUGACUAUAUAACAUGUUCAUAAAUAACAUGCAGUUUAUUGUGUGCUUAAUAUACUUGAUGUCAAGAAUAAAUUGCUUUAAACUUUAACAUCUUGUGUACUGGAGACUGGGGCUUGUUGUCACUCUUUACAGUAAAAAAGGUACAUUUUAGAAAGUCAGUUUGUGUACAGACUAGAAGAAAGAAAAAAAAAAUACAGUUUAGGACUGUAUGAACACAGACACAAAUUAAGUGUCAAUAACACAUUCAUUGGUAAAUGGUCAUUCAGUUAUCAAGUCUGCAAGACCUAGUUCAUUUAGUUGCAUUAAGCAAAAUAUGUUUGUAUUUUUCAAUAAAUUAACUGGGAAAAAACAA
This is a long non-coding RNA of Ctenopharyngodon idella (grass carp), 1418 nucleotides long. RefSeq lists it as uncharacterized. Lineage: Eukaryota; Metazoa; Chordata; Actinopteri; Cypriniformes; Xenocyprididae. The record is from RefSeq and is a predicted model, not a curated record. The transcript has 3 exons.